RNAcentral lists this ribosomal RNA (259 nucleotides) under Bacillus licheniformis. Its description in RNAcentral is "partial 16S ribosomal RNA". It matches the Rfam family "Bacterial small subunit ribosomal RNA", at positions 911 to 1171 of the family's 1533-position model. The record is from RNAcentral. Lineage: Bacteria; Bacillati; Bacillota; Bacilli; Caryophanales; Bacillaceae.
UGACGGGGGCCCGCACAAGCGGUGGAGCAUGUGGUUUAAUUCGAAGCAACGCGAAGAACCUUACCAGGUCUUGACAUCCUCUGACAACCCUAGAGAUAGGGCUUCCCCUUCGGGGGCAGAGUGACAGGUGGUGCAUGGUUGUCGUCAGCUCGUGUCGUGAGAUGUUGGGUUAAGUCCCGCAACGAGCGCAACCCUUGAUCUUAGUUGCCAGCAUUCAGUUGGGCACUCUAAGGUGACUGCCGGUGACAAACCGGAGGAA